UACAGAGGUCCCAAGCGUUGUUCGGAUUCAUUGGGCGUAAAGGGCGCGUAGGCGGCCUACUAAGUCGGACGUGAAAUCCCUCGGCUCAACCGAGGAACUGCGUCCGAUACUGGCAGGCUGGAAUCCGGGAGAGGGAUGUGGAAUUCCAGGUGUAGCGGUGAAAUGCGUAGAUAUCUGGAGGAACACCGGUGGCGAAGGCGGCAUCCUGGACCGGUAUUGACGCUGAGGCGCGAAAGCUAGGGGAGCAAACGGG
RNAcentral lists this ribosomal RNA (253 nucleotides) under uncultured bacterium. Its description in RNAcentral is "partial 16S ribosomal RNA". It matches the Rfam family "Bacterial small subunit ribosomal RNA", at positions 524 to 776 of the family's 1533-position model. The record is from RNAcentral.